RNAcentral lists this ribosomal RNA (804 nucleotides) under uncultured bacterium. Its description in RNAcentral is "bacterial SSU rRNA". It matches the Rfam family "Bacterial small subunit ribosomal RNA", at positions 62 to 865 of the family's 1533-position model. The record is from RNAcentral.
UCGACGGAGCGCCUAUGAAGGAGAUUUCGGUCAACGGAAUAGGUUGCUUAGUGGCGGACGGGUGAGUAACGCGUGAGGAACCUGCCUUUCAGAGGGGGACAACAGUUGGAAACGACUGCUAAUACCGCAUAACACAUAGGUGUCGCAUGGCAUUUAUGUCAAAGAUUUAUCGCUGAAAGAUGGCCUCGCGUCUGAUUAGCUAGUUGGUGAGGUAACGGCUCACCAAGGCGACGAUCAGUAGCCGGACUGAGAGGUUGGCCGGCCACAUUGGGACUGAGAUACGGCCCAGACUCCUACGGGAGGCAGCAGUGGGGAAUAUUGGGCAAUGGGCGCAAGCCUGACCCAGCAACGCCGCGUGAAGGAAGAAGGCUUUCGGGUUGUAAACUUCUUUUGACAGGGAAGAGUAGAAGACGGUACCUGUCGAAUAAGCCACGGCUAACUACGUGCCAGCAGCCGCGGUAAUACGUAAGUGGCAAGCGUUGUCCGGAUUUACUGGGUGUAAAGGGCGUGUAGCCGGGUUGACAAGUCAGAUGUGAAAUCCUGCGGCUUAACCGCAGAACUGCAUUUGAAACUGUUGAUCUUGAGUACUGGAGAGGCAGACGGAAUUCCUAGUGUAGCGGUGAAAUGCGUAGAUAUUAGGAGGAACACCAGUGGCGAAGGCGGUCUGCUGGACAGCAACUGACGGUGAGGCGCGAAAGCGUGGGGAACAAACAGGAUUAGAUACCCUGGUAGUCCACGCUGUAAACGAUGGAUACUAGGUGUGCGGGGACUGACCCCCUGCGUGCCGCAGCUAACGCAAUAAGU